CUUGUAAGCGCAUGAUCUGCAAUCUCACGAUCUGCAAUCUCUAUGACAUAAUGUAAUCUAAAAAUAUGUUUAAUAUAACUGUGUUCUAAAUCCUACAAAAAGAAAUAAACUAAACAUUAAUACACUCCAAUAAUUAACUCCUCCACUUUGGCUCUCGGUAACAUUUCACUGAACACUUAACUUCAUCAUACAUAACUAUAAUAUUGGAAUGGAUUCUAGUUUCUCAGGACACUAAAUUGCUAAAAUAAAAAAAAAAGAUGAUUAGUCGAAUGAGCACGGCCGUACUCUAGCACUACUGACAACAAAACACAUAUGCAUUCUGUUAGGUUUGACUUCACAUCAUAAUUUGCCUAUCAAAAUUUCUGAAAUUAGAAAAAAAUGUUAAUCAAAGG
RNAcentral lists this long non-coding RNA (392 nucleotides) under Mytilus galloprovincialis (Mediterranean mussel). Lineage: Eukaryota; Metazoa; Mollusca; Bivalvia; Mytilida; Mytilidae. The record is from RNAcentral.